This 339-nucleotide ribosomal RNA is filed under the name uncultured eukaryote. Its description in RNAcentral is "SSU rRNA". It matches the Rfam family "Eukaryotic small subunit ribosomal RNA", at positions 601 to 945 of the family's 1831-position model. The record is from RNAcentral.
AUAGAAUUAUUGCUGCGGUUAAAAAGCUCGUAGUUGGAUCUGUGCCGGUGGACCCGGUCCACUCGAAAGGGUGCGCACUGGGCUCCCCGGCUUUCUGCCGGUUUUCCCGUCGUGGUCUUAACUGGUUGCGGCGGGUGGCUGGCGAUUUUACUUUGAACAAAUCAGAGUGCUUAAAACAGGCGUUUCGCUUGAAUGUUCGUGCAUGGAAUAAUAGAAAAGGAUUUCGGUUCUAUUUUAUUGGUUUUAUAGACUGAGAUAAUGGUUAACAGAGACAAACGGGGGCAUUCGUAUUGCUGCGUGAGAGGUGAAAUUCUUGGACCGCAGCAAGACGAACUACAG